RNAcentral lists this ribosomal RNA (460 nucleotides) under uncultured bacterium. RNAcentral describes it as "partial 16S ribosomal RNA". It matches the Rfam family "Bacterial small subunit ribosomal RNA", at positions 338 to 795 of the family's 1533-position model. The record is from RNAcentral.
CCUACGGGUGGCAGCAGUGAGGAAUAUUGGUCAAUGGACGCAAGUCUGAACCAGCCAUGCAGCGUGCAGGAAGACGGCUCUAUGAGUUGUAAACUGCUUUUGUAAGGGGGUAAAUCCCGAUACGUGUAUCUGGUUGAAAGUAUCGUACGAAUAAGGAUCGGCUAACUCCGUGCCAGCAGCCGCGGUAAUACGGAGGAUUCGAGCGUUAUCCGGAUUUAGUGGGUUUAAAGGGUGCGUAGGUGGUUCGAUAAGUUAGUGGUGAAAGCCCGGGGCUCAACUCCGGCAUUGCUGCUGAUACUGGCAGUCUAGAGUUUAGUUGCGGUAGGCGGAAUGUAUGGUGUAGCGGUGAAAUGCAUAGAGAUCAUACAGAACACCGAUUGCGAAGGCAGCUUACCAAACUACGACUGACGUUGAGGCACGAAAGUGUGGGGAUCAAACAGGAUUAGAUACCCGAGUAGUC